ACGCUGGCGGCGUGCCUACACAUGCAAGUCGAGCGAGAAAGUCCCUUCGGGGGCGAGUAGAGCGGCGGACGGGUGAGUAAGACGUGGAUAAUCUCCCCUCGAGCUUGGGAUAACCCCACGAAAGUGGGGCUAAUACCGGAUAAGACCACGUAGCAUAUGCUACGGGGUAAAAGGUGGCUUGUAUUUAUAUGAGCUAUCACUUGAGGAUGAGUCCAUGGCCUAUCAGCUUGUUGGUGAGGUAAGAGCUUACCAAGGCUAUGACGGGUAGCUGGUCUGAGAGGACGACCAGCCACACUGGGACUGAGACACGGCCCAGACUCCUACGGGAGGCAGCAGUGGGGAAUAUUGGGCAAUGGGCGAAAGCCUGACCCAGCGACGCCGCGUGGGUGAUGAAGGCCUUCGGGUUGUAAAGCCCUUUCGUGCGGAAAGAACAGCCCUGAGUUGAAUAUGCUCAGGGUUUGACGGUACCGCAGGAAGAAGCACCGGCUAACUCCGUGCCAGCAGCCGCGGUAAUACGGAGGGUGCAAGCGUUGUUCGGAAUUAUUGGGCGUAAAGGGCGC
Molecule: ribosomal RNA, 560 nt
Filed under: uncultured bacterium
Lineage: Bacteria
Description: bacterial SSU rRNA
Rfam family: Bacterial small subunit ribosomal RNA
Source: RNAcentral